RNAcentral lists this ribosomal RNA (769 nucleotides) under uncultured Archaeospora. RNAcentral describes it as "SSU rRNA". It matches the Rfam family "Eukaryotic small subunit ribosomal RNA", at positions 328 to 1100 of the family's 1831-position model. Lineage: Eukaryota; Fungi; Glomeromycota; Glomeromycetes; Archaeosporales; Archaeosporaceae. The record is from RNAcentral.
GUAGGAUAGAGGCCUACCAUGGUAGUAACGGGUAACGGGGAAUUAGGGUUCGAUUCCGGAGAGGGAGCCUGAGAAACGGCUACCACAUCCAAGGAAGGCAGCAGGCGCGCAAAUUACCCAAUCCCGACACGGGGAGGUAGUGACAAUAAAUAACAAUACAGGGCCUUUCAGGUCUUGUAAUUGGAAUGAGUACAAUUUAAAUCUCUUAACGAGGAACAAUUGGAGGGCAAGUCUGGUGCCAGCAGCCGCGGUAAUUCCAGCUCCAAUAGCGUAUAUUAAAGUUGUUGCAGUUAAAAAGCUCGUAGUUGAAUUUUAGGCCUGGCCGGGCGGUCCGUCUUUGGCGAGUACUGUCUUGUUGUCGGGUCUUCCUUCUGGUGAACCAGUAUGUCCUUUAUUGGGUGUGUUGGGGAGCCAGGACCAUUACCUUGAAAAAAUUAGAGUGUUUAAAGCGGGCUAUUGCUUGAAUAGAUUAGCAUGGAAUAAUAGAAUAGGACGUUUGUGGUUCUAUUUUGUUGGUUCCUAGGACCACCGUAAUGAUUAAUAGGGAUAGUUGGGGGCAUUAGUAUUCAAUUGUCAGAGGUGAAAUUCUUGGAUUUAUUGAAGACUAACUAUUGCGAAAGCAUUUGCCAAGGAUGUUUUCAUUAAUCAAGAACGAAAGUUAGGGGAUCGAAGACGAUCAGAUACCGUCGUAGUCUUAACCAUAAACUAUGCCGACUAGGAAUCGGGCGUCGUUAUUUUAAUGACUCGCUCGGCGCCUUAUGGGAAACAA